RNAcentral lists this ribosomal RNA (1806 nucleotides) under activated sludge metagenome. Its description in RNAcentral is "bacterial LSU rRNA". It matches the Rfam family "Bacterial large subunit ribosomal RNA", at positions 1219 to 2925 of the family's 2925-position model. The record is from RNAcentral.
CGUGAGGUGGUAGGGGAGCGUCCCCGAGGCGGUGAAGCCCUUCCGUAAGGAUAGGGUGGAGCGUCGGGGAGUGAGAAUGCCGGUAUGAGUAGCGAGAAAGUCCGGUGAGAAUCCGGGCCGCCGAAUGCCUAAGGUUUCCUCCGCAACGUUCGUCGACGGAGGGUUAGUCGGUCCUAAGCUCAGUCCGCUGUUUUAGGCGGAGUAGGCGAUGGCCAACAGGUUAAUAUUCCUGUACUUUUGUUUGUUCGUUAUCAGCUGGGGCAGGACGAAGCCAGAUAACCCGAGCAGGUUAAUGAUUUCCUGUCUAAACGGCAAGGUAGAGCUAAUAGGAAAAUCCAUUAGCUUGUUUUAACCCGAGUCGUGAUGGCCUUUUUUCCCAAAAGGAAAAAAGCGUUGGGUGAUUUUGGCUUCCGAGAAAAUUGUCGCGGCAAGAACAGGCAAAAACCGUACCCAAAACCAACACUGGUGGGCAGGUCGAGUAGACCAAGGCGAGCGAGAGAAAGAGGUUUAAGGAACUAGGCAAAAAAGCUGGGCGUAAGUUCGCAAGAUGCCCUGCCUGCCUUGUGCUUUGCGCGAGGCGGGCUACAACAAAAGAAUGUUUGGCGACUGUUUACCAAAAACACAGGUCUCUGCAAACUCCUAAAAGAGGAGGUAUAGGGGCUGAAGUCUGCCCAGUGCCGGAAGGUUAAGGAACCUUGUCCUCUGGACAAGAAUAACGGAUUAACGCGGAUUUUUGAGCGGAUUAACACGGAUUUAUCUGUGGAAAUCUGUUUUUAAUCAGCGGAAAUUGUUAUUCUCGCCCAGGGGGCGAGGAACUGAAGCCCCGGUGAACGGCAGCAGUAACUCUAACUGUUCUACGGUAGCGAAGUCCUUUGUCGGGUGAGUUCCGACCGGUAUGAAAGACCCAACGACCAAGCAACUGUCUACAAACCUCUACUCGGCGAAAUUGAAAUGGCUGUGAAGAUGCGGCCUAGUUACUGCAGGACAAAAAGACCCCGUGGAGCUUUACUGCAACUUGAUAUUGAGGAGUUAUUUCCAAUUGUUUAGCGUAGGAGGGAGCCCCGCCUUUUGGCGGGGCAACAAUGAAACACCUCUCUUUGGAAAUAACAAUUCUGACUAAUGUUUGCUGGAAACGCAAACUAGGACAGUGUCUGGUGGGCAGUUUGACUGGGGCAGUCGCUUGCUAAAAGGUAACGCGAGCGUACAAAGGUUGGCUUCUUGCGGAUGGAAACCGCGAGUAAAGUGCAAAGGCAAAAGCCAGCUUAACUGCAAGACCGACGGGUCGAGCAGAUGCGAAAGCAGGUCUUAGUGAUCCCCCGAUACCGCGUGGAAGGGUCGGGGCUUAACGGAUAAAAGCUACCCCGGGGAUAACAGCGUGGUUGGUCCCAAGAGUACAUAUCGACGGGCCAGUUCGCGACCUCGAUGUCGGCUCAGGUUAACCUGGGGGUGAAGAAGCCCCCAAGGGUUGGACUGUUCGCCCAUUAAAAACCUACGUGAGCUGGGUUCAAAGCGUCGUAAGACAGCUUGGUCUCUAUCCGCAGUAACCGUUUUGAUUCUUGAGGGAAUCUGUCCCUAGUACGAGAGGACUGGGAUGGGCAAACCUCUGGUGGUCCAGCUGUGGCAUCAGCCGCAAUGUUGGGUAGCUAUGUUUGUUUUGGAUAACCGCUGAAAGCAUCUCAAGCGGGAAACCGAUCCCAAGAUGAAGAGUCUUUAAGACCCCAGGGAGACUACCUGGUUGAUAGGCCGGAGGUGUAAGUUUGGCAACAAAUUAAGCCGACCGGUACUAAUGGUUUUCGGCAUUUUAAA